Molecule: ribosomal RNA, 480 nt
Filed under: uncultured bacterium
Lineage: Bacteria
Description: bacterial SSU rRNA
Rfam family: Bacterial small subunit ribosomal RNA
Source: RNAcentral
UCCUGGCUCAGGACGAACGCUGGCGGCAUGCUUCAUACAUGCAAGUCGAACGAUAAGGUCUCUUCGGAGAUACAUAAGUGGCGGACGGGUGAGUAAUAUGUAGGAAAUCUGCCCUAGAGAGGGGGACAACAGAGGGAAACUUCUGCUAAUACCCCAUAUGAGCGUAGUUGAAAUACUAUUCUUGAAAACUCCGGUGCUCUAGGAUGAGCCUGCAUCUGAUUAGCUUGUUGGCGGUGUAAUGGACCACCAAGGCGACGAUCAGUAGCUGGUUUGAGAGGAUGAUCAGCCACAAUGGGACUGAGACACGGCCCAUACUCCUACGGGAGGCAGCAGUAGGGAAUUUUGCGCAAUGGGCGAAAGCCUGACGCAGCAAUGCCGCGUGAACGUAGAAGCCCUUCGGGGUGUAAAGUUCUGUCAGUGGGGACGAAUUUUGACGGUACCCACAGAGGAAGCACCGGCUAACUCCGUGCCAGCCGCGGC